UGGGGAAUCUUCCGCAAUGGGCGCAAGCCUGACGGAGCAACGCCGCGUGAGUGAAGAAGGGUUUCGACUCGUAAAGCUCUGUUGUCGGGGACGAAUGUGGAGAUGGUGAAUAACCAUUUCUAAUGACGGUACCUGACGAGGAAGCCACGGCUAACUACGUGCCAGCAGCCGCGGUAAUACGGAGGAUGCGAGCGUUAUCCGGAUUUAUUGGGUUUAAAGGGUGCGCAGGCGGCGUGCCAAGUCAGCGGUCAAAGUUCCGGGCUCAACCCGGUGAUGCCGUUGAAACUGGUAUGCUUGAGUGCGUGCGAGGGAGGCGGAAUGCGUUGUGUAGCGGUGAAAUGCAUAGAUAUGACGCAGAACUCCGAUUGCGAAGGCAGCUUUCCAGCACGCCACUGACGCUGAGGCACGAAAGCGUGGGGAUCGAACAGGAUUAGAUACCCUGGUAGU
RNAcentral lists this ribosomal RNA (447 nucleotides) under uncultured Mitsuokella sp. RNAcentral describes it as "bacterial SSU rRNA". It matches the Rfam family "Bacterial small subunit ribosomal RNA", at positions 355 to 794 of the family's 1533-position model. The record is from RNAcentral. Lineage: Bacteria; Bacillati; Bacillota; Negativicutes; Selenomonadales; Selenomonadaceae.